UCAAGAAAGAGAAGGGGAAAUGGUAUUGGGAAAACCAAAAUUGUGGAGCGGCCGACAGAGAAAUCGAAAAGAAACCAGAAGAAACAAAAGAAGAAAAGGAGGAGAGAGAAGCUAGGGA
Molecule: non-coding RNA, 118 nt
Filed under: Paramoeba aestuarina
Lineage: Eukaryota; Discosea; Flabellinia; Dactylopodida; Paramoebidae
Source: RNAcentral